Molecule: long non-coding RNA, 456 nt
Organism: Athene cunicularia (burrowing owl)
Lineage: Eukaryota; Metazoa; Chordata; Aves; Strigiformes; Strigidae
Exons: 4
Source: RefSeq, a predicted model, not a curated record
GGAAGUGACGUUGGGGGGAGGCCAGCGGGCAGGUCCCCCCGCCGCGGGACCCCCUCCGGAGCGGGGCCGCCCCCCGGCUCCCCGCACCCGUUUCACCCCCGGUGUCUCCCCGAGAGCGCCUCAGCUCAGCCCACCUGCCCGCGCCGGCCUCCGCACCGCGGCCUCCAGCCACCACCCUCACCCCAGACAAUGAGCUGUGGAGAAGAGCAGGCUGUACUGGCUCUUCAGAGGCUUAAUUUGAAGACUCACCCUGUUACUGAUUGGUGGAUGUUACUGUAAAAGUAAUGUUGGAAGACCACAGUAAUUUUAGGCUGUGAGCUAGAUUGUGAAAGUGAAGAAGGGACUUUUGAAAAGCUGGAACUCAGAACAAAAUAGAAACAGUCUUUUCUCAGGAUGACAGAAGUAAUACGAAGAAAAGAUAAAGCAUGAAAGAAAAGUGAGAGGAAAGAGGCAGAA